UAAUACGAAGGGAGCUAGCGUUGUUCGGAAUUACUGGGCGUAAAGGGCGCGUAGGCGGCUUCAACAGUUGGGCGUGAAAUGCCUGGGCUUAACCCAGGAAUUGCGCUCAAUACUGCGAGGCUUGAGUGUGGGAGAGGAUAGUGGAAUUCCCAGUGUAGAGGUGAAAUUCGUAGAUAUUGGGAAGAACACCAGCGGCGAAGGCGGCUAUCUGGACCACAACUGACGCUGAGGCGCGAAAGCGUGGGGAGCAAACAGGAUUAGAUACCCUGGUAGUCCACGCUGUAAACUAUGUGUGCUUGACGUCGGGAGGCAUAGCCUUCCGGUGUCGCAGCUAACGCGGUAAGCACACCGCCUGGGGAGUACGGUCGCAAGAUUA
This 376-nucleotide ribosomal RNA is filed under the name uncultured bacterium. RNAcentral's name for it is "bacterial SSU rRNA". It matches the Rfam family "Bacterial small subunit ribosomal RNA", at positions 521 to 896 of the family's 1533-position model. The record is from RNAcentral.